RNAcentral lists this ribosomal RNA (496 nucleotides) under uncultured bacterium. RNAcentral describes it as "partial 16S ribosomal RNA". It matches the Rfam family "Bacterial small subunit ribosomal RNA", at positions 29 to 507 of the family's 1533-position model. The record is from RNAcentral.
ACGAACGCUGGCGGCGUGCCUAAUACAUGCCAGUAGAACGCUGAAGAGAGGAGCUUGCUCUUCUUGGAUGAGUUGCGAACGGGUGAGUAACGCGUAGGUAACCUGCCUUGUAGCGGGGGAUAACUAUUGGAAACGAUAGCUAAUACCGCAUAACAAUGGAUGACACAUGUCAUUUAUUUGAAAGGGGCAAUUGCUCCACUACAAGAUGGACCUGCGUUGUAUUAGCUAGUAGGUGAGGUAAUGGCUCACCUAGGCGACGAUACAUAGCCGACCUGAGAGGGUGAUCGGCCACACUGGGACUGAGACACGGCCCAGACUCCUACGGGAGGCAGCAGUAGGGAAUCUUCGGCAAUGGGGGCAACCCUGACCGAGCAACGCCGCGUGAGUGAAGAAGGUUUUCGGAUCGUAAAGCUCUGUUGUAAGUCAAGAACGGGUGUGAGAGUGGAAAGUUCACACUGUGACGGUAGCUUACCAGAAAGGGACGGCUAACUACGUG